Molecule: ribosomal RNA, 254 nt
Filed under: uncultured bacterium
Lineage: Bacteria
Description: partial 16S ribosomal RNA
Rfam family: Bacterial small subunit ribosomal RNA
Source: RNAcentral
UACGUAGGGUCCGAGCGUUGUCCGGAAUUACUGGGCGUAAAGAGCUCGUAGGUGGUUUGUCGCGUUGUUCGUGAAAACUCACAGCUCAACUGUGGGCGUGCGGGCGAUACGGGCAGACUAGAGUACUGCAGGGGAGAUUGGAAUUCCUGGUGUAGCGGUGGAAUGCGCAGAUAUCAGGAGGAACACCGAUGGCGAAGGCAGGUCACUGGGCCGCGAACUGACGCUGAGGAGCGAAAGCAUGGGGAGCGAACAGG